UACAGAGGUGGCAAGCGUUGUUCGGAAUUACUGGGCGUAAAGGGCGCGUAGGCGGCGAAUCAAGUCAGCUGUGAAAUCUCCGAGCUUAACUCGGAACGGUCAGCUGAUACUGUUUUGCUAGAGUGCAGAAAGGGCAACCGGAAUUCUUGGUGUAGCGGUGAAAUGCGUAGAUAUCAAGAGGAACACCUGAGGCGAAGGCGGGUUGCUAGGCUGACACUGACGCUGAAGCGCGAAAGCUAGGGUAGCAAACGGG
RNAcentral lists this ribosomal RNA (253 nucleotides) under uncultured bacterium. Its description in RNAcentral is "partial 16S ribosomal RNA". It matches the Rfam family "Bacterial small subunit ribosomal RNA", at positions 524 to 776 of the family's 1533-position model. The record is from RNAcentral.